AUGCCAAAGCGACUGUUUACUUCUACAAAGUAUGAAGACACCAAAGGAUCUAUUGAAGAAGCCACGAACCUCAGAAACGUGGUCAAGAGGCAUAAUGUGGUGCACAACUCUCCUGUAGUGCUUUGAGUGCAAUUACCUAACACUUGGAAGAGUGUGAGAAGGAGUGAAGAUAACCCGAAAAGUUGCAUACUCAGACAGUGUUGUAAGACGCUUCUCGUGUCUACUGCUGGCGCAUUAU
This 238-nucleotide long non-coding RNA is filed under the name Oncorhynchus kisutch (coho salmon). Its description in RNAcentral is "lncRNA (ENSOKIG00005005173.1)". Lineage: Eukaryota; Metazoa; Chordata; Actinopteri; Salmoniformes; Salmonidae. The record is from RNAcentral.